CUAGUAGCGCAAGGGACCGCUGCCGAGCCUGGGCCGGGCGGCCGGAGCUGACGCCCGCAGCUGUUCUACACGCGAGAAUGGGGAGGCCGGUGGCUGGGGUGCGCGUUCCUGGCCUCGAUUCGCACCAGCUCGCUGGCCGGCGGUCCCAGCGCGGGACCCGACGCCUCACCGCCAGCUCCCUGGUCGGCGUCGGGACUCAUUUCUGACGACAUAGUAUUUUCUAGGAAUGAUGUCCGCUUCCGUCCGUCAAAUGCAGCCACAUUCGGGGUGGGAAGUGGCGAAUCUGUAGUUAGUAUAAGCAGGGCUGCUGAGCUUCGUGCUUAUCUGAAAUCUAAAGGAGCUGAGAUUUCAGAAGAGAACUCGGAAGGUGGACUUCAUAUUGAUUUAGCUCAAAUUAUUGAAGCCUGUGAUGUGUGUCUGAAGGAGGAUGAUAAAGAUGUUGAAAGCGUGAUGAACAGUGUGGUAUCCCUACUCUUGAUCCUGGAACCAGACAAGCAAGAAGCUUUGAUUGAAAGUCUAUGUGA
Molecule: small RNA, 524 nt
Filed under: Pongo abelii (Sumatran orangutan)
Lineage: Eukaryota; Metazoa; Chordata; Mammalia; Primates; Hominidae
Description: processed transcript
Source: RNAcentral